UUCUACUUAUGUUGAUGAUACUUCUUAUGAUAUUGAUUCAAAUGCUCAACUCGAUCGUGAACUUUUACAACAAAUUUAUGGUGAUAUUAAUCCUUAUCUUGAUGAAAAUUCAGGUGAAGAAGUAGAAGUUGGUUCGGGAGAAGAUGAAUUAGAAGAUACACCUACUAGUCCGGUGACAAAUGUUCCAAAUGAAACUACAAAUUCAACGGAGCAAAAUUCUGGACGCCCACCCCUUAUACCUCCUACAAGGGAGAAGAAACAGUGGAAGACGAAGAUGGCAAUGAAGAUUUAUUAGCAUGGUGGAGGAGGCGGAGCGUUGCAUUUCCAAUUUUAAGCAAAAUGGUUCGUGAUGUUCUAGCUAUUCAAGCUUCAUCAGUUGCAUCAGAGGCUGCUUUUAGUGCGGCAAGGUUUCAACUUGGCGAUCAUAGACAUUCAUUGGCGGAAGACAGUUUGGAAAUAUCAGUUUUAUUUAGAGAUUGGGUCAACGCCGAAAGGAGAAAUGAUAAUUUGCCAAAGUUAAGUUCCAAACAAGAAGCUUGGAUUAAUGCGGUACUUGGAUCUAGUGAUGAUGAAUUAGAGUCACAAGAGUUUCUAGCAAGUUUGCCAACACCGGAGGAUGUUACCGUCGAUAUGAUGCGACAAUUAGAAUUGAAUUUUAAAGGAAAAUACAAAUAUUAGAUUACAUCAGAGAACUAAUUGAAACAGAACCCUUCCUAGAAGGUGGCUGCGUAAAUUAGUUACUCAUCUAAUAUUUGUAACAAAUAUUAGUUUUACAUAUGAGAACUUAUUGAAACAGAACCCUUCCUAGAAGGUGGCUGCGUAGAUUAGUUACUCCACUAAUAUUUGUAAAUUGUAACUUCUAAGUUCUAAGUUGCAAUUAGAUUUUAUUGAAUAAAUUUGAAGGCUUUAUUAAGUCUUUUUUAUAUAA
This is a long non-coding RNA of Solanum stenotomum, 928 nucleotides long. RefSeq lists it as uncharacterized. The record is from RefSeq and is a predicted model, not a curated record. The transcript has 2 exons. Lineage: Eukaryota; Viridiplantae; Streptophyta; Magnoliopsida; Solanales; Solanaceae.